GUGGCUCAGUGGCUCAGUGGCAGAGCACUUGCCUAGCAUGUGUGAGGCUCUGGGUUCAAUCCCCAGCACCACA
Molecule: transfer RNA, 73 nt
Filed under: Marmota monax (woodchuck)
Lineage: Eukaryota; Metazoa; Chordata; Mammalia; Rodentia; Sciuridae
Description: tRNA.Ala
Rfam family: tRNA (bases 9-67)
About the family: Transfer RNA (tRNA) molecules are approximately 80 nucleotides in length. Their secondary structure includes four short double-helical elements and three loops (D, anti-codon, and T loops).
Source: RNAcentral